Molecule: ribosomal RNA, 494 nt
Filed under: uncultured bacterium
Lineage: Bacteria
Description: partial 16S ribosomal RNA
Rfam family: Bacterial small subunit ribosomal RNA
Source: RNAcentral
GAUGAACGCUGGCGGCGUGCCUAACACAUGCAAGUCGAACGGAGCUGCUUUGAUGAAGUUUUCGGAUGGAUUUAAAACAGCUUAGUGGCGGACGGGUGAGUAACGCGUGGGUAACCUGCCUCACACUGGGGGAUAACAGUUAGAAAUAGCUGCUAAUACCGCAUAAGCGCACAGUUCCGCAUGGAACAGUGUGAAAAACUCCGGUGGUGUGAGAUGGACCUGGGUCUGAUUAGCCAGUUGGCGGGGUAACGGCCCACCAAAGCGACGAUAAGGAGCCGGCCGGAGAGGGUGAACGGCCACAAUGGGGCUGAGACACGGCCCAAACUCCGACGGGAGGCAGCAGUGGGGAAUAUUGCACAAUGGGGGAAACCCUGAUGCAGCGACGCCGCGUGAGUGAAGAAGUAUUUCGGUAUGUAAAGCUCUAUCAGCAGGGAAGAAAGUGACGGUACCUGAAUAAGAAGCCCCGGCUAACUACGUGCCAGCCGCCGCUGUAA